UAAAGCCAAAGACGGAAGAAAGUACAAAAGAAAAAAUACGAAGAAAGAAGAAAGAAGAAAGAAAAUGUUUAUCAUCUCCGUGAUUUUGAUGGCGUUGACACUGAUACCAAUCAUCAAGGUUUCGGCGACAAGCAUCCUCAAAGUAUCCACGUUGAUGGUGACAAACACCUUGAGAGUUUCCAGAACGUCGUUGGGACAAAUCAUCAUCAACCUUGUCAUCUUUUACUUUCUCUAUUAUAUCUAGUGUUCUGACUGACUAUAUAUAUAUAUUUAUUCUUAUUAUAUCUGUAUAUAUAUUUUACAAAUUCUAUUUGCUAUAGAGAUUGCAGGUUCGAAACUCAUGAACCGAGAUGGGUGAUAAAUUGGAUUCUGGGAGAGCGCGCUCUAAUUCACUCCGAUCGCCCUUGUUAGAUUUCACUCUGAUCGCCAUUUGAUCAGCAAGGUGGUGGGAUAAAUCCUGACUCUCUUUGCUUCUUUCUUUUGGGUCACAAGAACUGGAUUCUGGGUUUGUAGCUAGUGGUGUGUUGUUGGAUCUUGAAUUGCCUAUCCUUUGCAUCGUGGUGUUUUCCCAAUAAACUCUCUUCUUCUUCUUUUUCCAGAGACGUGAGGACCAUGGGAAAGGCUUCACCCCAUUGUUGUUGGAUCUUCUCUCGUAACUUCUUUAUCCCCUGUUUGGAAGCUUAAUUUUUUCUAGGAAUUCCAAUGUAAAUCUGUUAUGAGAGAUUAUGAGGAAAGAUAUUAUUUUUUAUCUUUGUUUCUCUGCUUUGUGGCCUAUUGAAAGGUUUGUUAAGACUUGUG
Molecule: long non-coding RNA, 798 nt
Filed under: Capsella grandiflora
Lineage: Eukaryota; Viridiplantae; Streptophyta; Magnoliopsida; Brassicales; Brassicaceae
Description: long non-coding RNA (CGRA_LNC001501)
Source: RNAcentral